Molecule: ribosomal RNA, 472 nt
Filed under: uncultured bacterium
Lineage: Bacteria
Description: bacterial SSU rRNA
Rfam family: Bacterial small subunit ribosomal RNA
Source: RNAcentral
CACGCGUAACACAUGCAAGUCUCACUAUCGUAGCGAUCCGAUACUUGAGACAGGGUGCUUGACAGAUGAUUAACGUACUUAUCACUGGGGGAUAGCCCACGGAAAGGAUGAGCACUACCGUAUGAUAUUUGCUUUCGGCAUCGGGAUUUAUAUCCAGAUUUAUUGGUGAUAGAUGGGAUUGAUGGUCAAUAGAUAAUCGGGUGUCUAGACGAUGUACCAAGUCUACUAUGAGUAGGGGAAGUGAGAGAUUGGUCCCCCAUACGGGCAGUGAGAUACGGACCCGAGUCCUAAGAGAGGCACCGGUAUCGUAUAUUAGGCAAUGGGGGAGAACAUGACCCAACCAUGCCGAGCGCAAUAAGAAGACUCUGUGAGUCGUAUGAUGCCUUUGAUAGGGUAGAGUUACCAAUACGUGUAUUAUGAUGACGGUACCUACAGAAUAAGCUCCGGCUAACUCCGUGCCAGCAGCCGCGGU